AUUGAACGCUGGCGGCAUGCCUUACACAUGCAAGUCGAACGGUAACGGGCCUUCGGGUGCCGACGAGUGGCGAACGGGUGAGUGAUACAUCGGAACGUGCCCGAUCGUGGGGGAUAACGAGGCGAAAGCUUUGCUAAUACCGCAUACGAUCUACGGAUGAAAGCAGGGGACCGCAAGGCCUUGCGCGGACGGAGCGGCCGAUGGCAGAUUAGGUAGUUGGUGGGAUAAAAGCUUACCAAGCCGACGAUCUGUAGCUGGUCUGAGAGGAUGAUCAGCCACACUGGGACUGAGACACGGCCCAGACUCCUACGGGAGGCAGCAGUGGGGAAUUUUGGACAAUGGGCGCAAGCCUGAUCCAGCCAUGCCGCGUGCAGGAUGAAGGCCUUCGGGUUGUAAACUGCUUUUGUACGGAACGAAAAGCCUUCUUUUAAUACAGGAGGGUCAUGACGGUACCGUAAGAAUAAGCACCGGCUAACUACGUG
RNAcentral lists this ribosomal RNA (482 nucleotides) under uncultured bacterium. RNAcentral describes it as "partial 16S ribosomal RNA". It matches the Rfam family "Bacterial small subunit ribosomal RNA", at positions 30 to 507 of the family's 1533-position model. The record is from RNAcentral.